GUCCUUUGCAUAGGAACCUCCAUCUCGGUGGGUUCCGGUCUCUCGACGCUCUUCUGGUUUGAUCGUUGGGCCGGGGACUCUCCCUUUGCGGCCCGCUUCCCUGUCCUCUUCUCUAUCUCCGUCGAUCCCAUGAUUUCUGUUGAUAGGGCCCUUCUUGACUUAAGGUGCCUUGCUUUCCGACGGCCUUUUGGGCCCGCGGAAUCCGCCGCUUGGCGUGAGUUGCUUGACUGCGUUGCUCUUCAUGAGCCUUUGGUGGAUGGUGGCCCUGACCUGGUGCGAUGGCGCCUUGAGCCGUCGGGCCAGUUCUCCACCAAGUCGCUCUACCUGGCCAUUGCCCCAUCCUCCGCUCCCCUCCCCCUGUCGAUGGUUUGGUCCAUCCGCGUACCCCUGAAGAUUCGCAUCUUCAUGUGGCAAUGGAUUCGCGGUCGGGUCCCGUCCGGGGUGGACGUCUGCAAGCGCAAUGGCCCGGGUACUGGCAUAUGUCCGCUCUGUGGUGUUCCCGAAGACUCGAACCACAUUUUCUUCUCUUGCGUCUCCGCCCAGUUCCUCUGGAGCUGCUUUCGCGAGGUGGUCGGUGGAAGUUGGUGCCACACCAAUUUCCCGGACCUAUUUGCUGAACUCCAGCUGUCCCCCGCGGCCUCUCGCCACAUUAGGUGGCUUGAGGUUGGGGUACUUGUUGGGGAACGCAGUAAUUUCAAAAAAAUUCCUACGUACAAGCAAGAUCAUGGUGAUGGCAUAGCAACGAGAGGGGAGAGUGUUGUCCACGUACCCUCGUAG
Molecule: ribosomal RNA, 777 nt
Filed under: Triticum aestivum (bread wheat)
Lineage: Eukaryota; Viridiplantae; Streptophyta; Magnoliopsida; Poales; Poaceae
Description: partial small subunit ribosomal RNA
Source: RNAcentral